Non-coding RNA from Podospora fimiseda, 107 nucleotides. The record is from the annotation of a GenBank genome assembly. NCBI's taxonomy places the organism in Eukaryota, Fungi, Ascomycota, Sordariomycetes, Sordariales, Podosporaceae.
GGGUGACUAGUCUAGUGGUCAGGACGCUUCGUUGUGGUUCUUCGAGUUUGAAGAAGCUCGAUUAAACAACGACCGAAGAAACCCCGGUUCGAUUCCGGGGUCGCCCA